AUACGGAGGAUCCGAGCGUUAUCCGGAUUUAUUGGGUUUAAAGGGUGCGCAGGCGGCCAUUUAAGUCAGCGGUUAAAUCGUGGGGCUCAACCCCAUUCUGCCGUUGAUACUGGGUGGCUUGAUUGCGGUCGAGGUUGGCGGAAUUCGUUGUGUAGCGGUGAAAUGCAUAGAUAUGACGAAGAACACCGAUUGCGUAGGCAGCUGACCAGACCGCAAAUGACGCUCAUGCACGAAAGUGUGGGUAUCAAACAGGAUUAGAUACCCUGGUAGUCCACACAGUAAACGAUGAAUACUCGCUGUUUGCGAUAUACAGUAAGCGGCCAAGCGAAAGCAUUAAGUAUUCCACCUGGGGAGUACGCCGGCAACGGUGAAACUCAAAUGAAUUGGCGGG
This 391-nucleotide ribosomal RNA is filed under the name uncultured bacterium. RNAcentral describes it as "partial 16S ribosomal RNA". It matches the Rfam family "Bacterial small subunit ribosomal RNA", at positions 523 to 917 of the family's 1533-position model. The record is from RNAcentral.